Long non-coding RNA from Pan troglodytes (chimpanzee), 217 nucleotides. RefSeq lists it as uncharacterized. NCBI's taxonomy places the organism in Eukaryota, Metazoa, Chordata, Mammalia, Primates, Hominidae. The transcript has 2 exons. The record is from RefSeq and is a predicted model, not a curated record.
UGAUUGGACACCCCUGCAACAGUACAUGCCUGGAAAAGAAAUAAGAAGCAGACACAAUAGUGGUAAAAAAGCAUUACACAAGAUAAAAGGAAUAUUGGAAUGAGCUCACUAAUUUCCAUGCCAACAUUGUGACUGGAAUUACAUUGAGACUAAAGAUCAAUUUGGGAAGAAAUGCCAUCCUUAUAAUAAUAUAUCAAUAAAUCCUUAAUAUUAUUGC